Molecule: long non-coding RNA, 1195 nt
Organism: Vicia villosa (hairy vetch)
Lineage: Eukaryota; Viridiplantae; Streptophyta; Magnoliopsida; Fabales; Fabaceae
Exons: 4
Source: RefSeq, a predicted model, not a curated record
AAAAACCUAAAAAUGCUUCUUCUGUGAGAGCAAACACGACAUAUUCAGAAGUGCUUCUUCGGAGAAGCACUUUUUUCUCACGCGCAUUGGCUCAAGCUUUCUCGGGUUCUCUUGUGUGACACACUCUCAAACUCAUGCUCUCUCCCUCUCAAUUCUUACGCAACAACAACAAUUACGACGCUGAUUCUCUUGGUCUCGAAUUGGUUGGAUUUGGAUUUCAGAACUGAUUCGAAUUGUUAUUGACUCAGGAUUCGAUUCGCUUUGGGGUUCAGAAUCUAUUUGCGCUCAAAAUUUCAACUCGGAGCAGUUUGAGUUAAAGUUAGAGCAAACAUACGAUAUCAUAAAGCUGAGAAUGGAGGAAUGCUUACCGGUUGAAGCAAUGAGGAGAAGAAAAUGUAGCUUUCGAUCUUGCUCACAAGGAAAAAGUACUAUUGCGCGUGCUUUGAGCCAAAGCUUGCACUCCAAAGGAAAACUGACUUACAUCCUCGAUGGUGACAAUAUUCGGCAUGGUCUAAACCGUGAUCUUAGUUUUAGAGCAGAAGAUCGUUCAGAAAACAUUCGAAGGAUUGGUUGUAACACUGUUUGGUAUGCCUCAUAGUUACUGAUAAGUGGGUGGUCAUUCGAGAGUAUGGUGCAGUCGCGCAGAGGUAGACCCAAUUGGCCGAACUUUGUGAUGAAACAUUGUGUGUUCUUCGUCUGAAUUUUCUUUCAUAUAUUUUCACUUUUGAACCAGAUUGCUGCUCUAGCAUGACCAAAAAUAUUGAGCCAUAGAAGCACACUUUUCAAGUAAAGCCCUGUACUUUCUAGCUUCAUUAUAAAUUCAAUGUGUAGUCGUGUAUUUUAGAAUACAAUUCUGUCUUCAAUCAAAUACAUUGCUCAAUGUGUAGUCCUGUACUUUCUAGCUUCAUUAUAAAUUCAAUGUGUAGUCGUGUAUUUUGGAACAAACUGAAUUUUAGCUAUCAACUCUUUUUCGAUUCUGUUUCGACAUUGUUUGUGUUCUGAAAUUUUCUGCAAUUAGAAUAUUAGAAUUAGAAUAUGAGUUGUUAAUGAAUGUUUUAGCUAGAUGAGAACUUGUUGUUUGUGCUAGAUGUUGAUAUUCAGGUGGGAUUAUGUAUGUGAUUGUAGAUAUUAAUACUAGAUCUCAUACAUCGUAAUUCUAGAUAUUAUUUCUAGUAUAAACCUUUGUAUACUCAUA